Sarcophilus harrisii (Tasmanian devil) is the source of this 228-nucleotide long non-coding RNA. RefSeq lists it as uncharacterized. NCBI's taxonomy places the organism in Eukaryota, Metazoa, Chordata, Mammalia, Dasyuromorphia, Dasyuridae. The record is from RefSeq and is a predicted model, not a curated record. The transcript has 2 exons.
AUAUUGAGAAUGAAGAUAUCACCAGAAAAGAAAAUUUAAUGGACAAGAAACAUCUUUAUGAAAUUUCCACAUUCAUUUAACUUUGGAACAAAGAGAAAAUGAAUUCAGAAAAUAAAAAACGAGAAGAAAAAUACUUUUGAAGAAGACAACGGAGAUCUUUUUGAAGGACAAAAAUAAUUUAAAUUUAAUUUAAUUUAAUUUAAAAAAAUAAAAAGAAUUUAUACCACA